GACGAACGCUGGCGGCGUGCUUAACACAUGCGAGUCGAACGGAAAGGCCCGGGUUUUCUUGUGUGGUUGAGUUGCGAACGGGUGAGUAACGCGUGGGUAACCUGCCCUUUAGUUGGGGAUAACUAUUGGAAAUUGUGGCUAAUACCGCAUAAUAGCUCCUGCUGCAUGGUGUUUGGUUGAAAGUUGCGACGGUUUGGGAUGGACUUGGGGCUGCGCAGCUUGUUGGUGGGGGAGGGGUUUACCAAGGCUUGGGCGGGGAGCCGUCCUGAGAGGGUGACCGGCCACAUUGGGACUGAGAUAGGGCCCAGACUCAUACGGGAGGCAGCAGUGGGGAAUAGUCCACAAUGGGCGGAAGCAUGAUGCAGGAACGCCGCGUGCGGGAUGACGGUCGUCGGGUUGUAAACCGCUUUAGCCUGUGACGAAGAGUGAGUGACGGUAAUGGGUAAAGAAGCACCGGCUAACUACGUG
RNAcentral lists this ribosomal RNA (468 nucleotides) under uncultured bacterium. RNAcentral describes it as "partial 16S ribosomal RNA". It matches the Rfam family "Bacterial small subunit ribosomal RNA", at positions 28 to 507 of the family's 1533-position model. The record is from RNAcentral.